RNAcentral lists this ribosomal RNA (312 nucleotides) under uncultured prokaryote. RNAcentral's name for it is "bacterial SSU rRNA". It matches the Rfam family "Bacterial small subunit ribosomal RNA", at positions 505 to 816 of the family's 1533-position model. The record is from RNAcentral.
GUGUCAGCAGCCGCGGUAAUACAGAGGGUGCGAGCGUUAAUCGGAAUUACUGGGCGUAAAGCGCGCGUAGGUGGUUUGUUAAGUUGGAUGUGAAAUCCCCGGGCUCAACCUGGGAACUGCAUCCAAAACUGACAAGCUAGAGUAUGGUAGAGGGUGGUGGAAUUUCCUAUGUAGCGGUGAAAUGCGUAGAUAUAGGAAGGAACACCAGUGGCGAAGGCGACCACCUGGACUGAUACUGACACUGAGGUGCGAAAGCGUGGGGAGCAAACAGGAUUAGAAACCCCCGUAGUCCAUUAGAUACCCGAGUAGUCC